Molecule: long non-coding RNA, 7430 nt
Filed under: Fragaria vesca (wild strawberry)
Lineage: Eukaryota; Viridiplantae; Streptophyta; Magnoliopsida; Rosales; Rosaceae
Description: long non-coding RNA (FVES_LNC003856)
Source: RNAcentral
AGUCCUUGUUUUGCUUCAAAAGGAAGGGAAUCACAAGUGAUUGACACAACUGACGAUAGAAGACAAAGAUAUGAAAAUUGGAUGAACAAAAUUCGCGUGUUCAGGGAGCCAAUUUGUUAGGGCCAAGACAUGUAAUGCCACAAGCAACCUUGCCCAGGGUCAUGAGUCAAGCCCAUGGUUGGUUGCUUGUGUGCAAGUGGCAUUAUUGUAAUUUCUAUUUUCCUUGUAUUUUAUUUUAUUUAGCUUGGCCCUCCUUGGCUUUUUGAUGUUUCCCACAGCCAAGUGAGAAUUUGGCCGAUAUGCUCUUUGUAGGGGAGUUCCUAGUCGGCGACGGUUGGACUAAGGAACUAGUAUAGGUAAGCACAUGUACUUUAGCCUCUACUAACGUCUUACCAUCAAUAAAGAGAGGAAUUAUUCAAUCAUCUGUGUCCCGUGAGAUCAUUUCAACUUUUCAUUCGAGUUGCCCGCUCGCUCUUUGAGCUCGCUCCAAUAAUUAUAUAACACUGUGUUCUUGCUUGUUGCUAGCAUCAUAUUAAUAUCGUGUGGUUUCCAUUGUUCCUUGCAAGGUGCGCACAAGGCUGACUUGCUACCUUUUCAAGGCUAGCGAGUGCCGCACGGUCCUCUUUGCACCCUCGCAAAGUCGGCCCGUGACAGGUGGUAUCAGAGCCAUCUUGGCUCGAAGGCUCACAACAUGCCGGGAGGAAUGACAAAGCAACAAAAAUUUGAUUGGUAUGACCAAAUGCUUGGUGAACUUGCGGGAGUCCCUGAUAGAUUGAUUGACAUCACCUCCACGCUAGGCCGUGUCGACCUAGAUGAACUGGCGACACGAGUCAAUGACCUUGGGGAGUUGAGAGGGCGAGUUGCAGCCCUAGACCGCGUCGACCUGGAUGAGUUGGCGGCGCGAGUUGAUGACCUUGAAAGAUUGAAAGGGCGAGUUACGGCCCUUGAAAAGAUGGAAGCUCCAAGACUCGAUGUAGAGACCGAGAGAGAUGGAGGUUCUGUUUCACAAGAGCAGAUGGGGGCGAUGGGUGAUGCCCUCGAAACUCUACAAGUGACUAUGGACACCAUGGCGGAGGAUGUCCGAGCCACUAUUGAUGCAUUCAAGAACGAGCUGUUGGAGAUGAAUACCAAGCUCAAUCUAACUAUCCGGGCGAUGAGUAACCAACCUGUGACGGACUACAGGAGGGUAAAGAUCCCGGAACCUCAAGCUUACGGAGGGGCGCGAGACGCCAAGGAGCUUGAGAAUUUUCUAUUUGAUAUGGAGCAAUACUUCCGAGCAGUGAAGCCGGAUUCAGAAGAAGCAAAAGUGGGCAUGGCGACAAUGUAUUUGUCGGGCGAUGCGAAACUGUGGUGGAGAACAAAAUACAACGACAUCCAGAGGAAUGUCUGUACCAUUGCCACAUGGGAGGACCUGAAGAAAGAGCUGAAGAUGCAGUUCUUCCCAGAGAAUGUGGACUACAUUGCAAGACGACAGUUGAGAGAGCUGAAGCACACCAACAACAUUAGAGAGUUUGUGAGCAAAUUCUCUGUGCUCAUGCUCGAUCUCCCAGAUAUGUCGGAGAAGGACCGACUAUUCUAUUUCCUUGAGGGGUUAAAGCCGUGGGCUAGAACUGAACUUCAGAGACAAAGGGUUCAAGAUUUGGCUUCUGCUCAAGCAGCAGCUGAAAGGUUGACAGACUACACUUUUGAAGAGAACCCUCCCAAAAGGACCUCAUCCUUUUCGAAUGUGAAUGCCAACAAAAGUGUGAGACCAGGACAAAGUAGAAGUGGGGGAGCGGAGUCAAAGUUCUCCAGUUUCGGAGGAGGGGGACGGAUGACCAAUGUAAGGGAUACAGCCUCUUCCAAACCGGCUGCAUCAACAGGAGUAUUUCCCCCACGGCAAUUCAACUCUGCCGGCUUCACACAAAGACCUAUAUCUUGCUUCUUAUGCAAGGGGCCUCAUAGGGUGAAUGAGUGUCCACACAAGACGGCCUUGACAGCCCUACAAGCCCACAUUUCGACGAAGGAGUCUGAAGAACCACAAGAGGAAGUGGAGGAACCUAGUCAGAUGGGUGCCUUGAGAUUCUUGAACGCAGUGGAAAAGCAACCACCCGCGUCCCAGGAGUCUCAGCCCAAGGGCCUAAUGUUUGUGAAUGGGAGCAUAAACGGGAAGGUUGCCAAGAGUGUGAUGGUCGACACUAGCGCCACCCAUAAUUUUGUGUCUGAAACAGAAGCACGGAAGUUGGGAUUGAAGAUAGAGAAGGAUAUUGGCCGCAUGAAAGCAGUCAACUCCUCACCCUUGGCCACAGUGGGGGUAUCCCGAAGAGCACAGGUGAAGCUGGGUAGUUGGGAAGGGAAGACAGACUUGGUUGUUGUAGAAAUGGACGACUUCGACGUCAUAUUAGGGAUGGACUUUUUGCUGGAACACAAAGCCAUCCCCAUUCCCAAUGCCCGAAAUUUGUUGAUCAUGGGGGAGAGACCAUGUGUAGUGCCUGCAAAGAUAGUCCCGCCAAGUGAACCCCGUCUCUUGUCUGCUCUCCAGUUCAAGAAAGGGGUGAAGCGACAUGAGCCUUCGUACGUCGCUGUCCCCUUGGUAAAAGAUGGGGCUGAACCAGAAGUGGUGCCAAAAGAAGUUCAGAGGGUACUGGAGAGUUACAAGGAUGUGAUGCCGGUAGAACUCCCUAAGGAGCUGCCACCAAGGAGAAACAUAGAUCAUGAGAUUGAGUUACUACCUGGUGCAAAACCACCCGCAAGGGCCCCUUACAGAAUGGCUCCGCCAGAGCUAGCAGAAUUGAGGAAGCAAUUGGGAGACCUGUUAGAAGCAGGGUUCAUUCAGCCCUCAAAGGCUCCAUUUGGUGCGCCGGUGCUGUUCCAGAAGAAGCAUGAUGGGAGCUUGAGGUUGUGUAUAGACUACCGAGCUCUCAACAAAGUCACCGUGCGAAACAAGUACCCCAUUCCCUUGAUCGCAGAUUUGUUUGACCAGCUCAGUGGCGCCAAAUAUUUCACCAAGCUGGACCUCCGCUCGGGAUACUACCAAGUCCGCAUAGCGGAAGGAGAUGAGCCCAAGACUACAUGUGUCAUGCGAUAUGGUGCUUUUGAGUUCCUGGUGAUGCCGUUCGGGUUGACCAAUGCACCUGCCACUUUCUGCACAUUGAUGAACCAAGUCUUCCAUGGUUUCCUUGACAAAUUUGUGGUGGUGUACUUGGAUGACAUUGUGAUAUACAGUUCUACUCUGGAGGAACAUGUGGAACACCUAAGACUAGUGUUUCAACAGUUACGAGCAAAUCAGCUGUAUGUCAAGCGCGAGAAGUGCUCUUUCGCACAAGAUACUAUCAAGUUCUUGGGCCAUGUUAUAGAGAGGGGGAGGAUCAGGAUGGACAUGGAGAAAGUACAAGCGAUCGAGGAGUGGCAGAGUCCCACGAAUGUGAAGGAGCUGCGUUCUUUUCUUGGACUGGCCAAUUACUAUAGGCGGUUCAUUAAAAAUUACUCAGGAAGGACAACUCCCUUGACUGACCUCUUGAAGAAGGGAGCGACGUGGGACUGGAACGAAGACUGUGAGCAAGCCUUCAUGGACUUGAAGAAGGCCGUGAUGGAAGAUCAUGUUCUUGCCUUGCCAGACUUGAGCAAACCAUUUGAAGUGCAGACCGAUGCAUCUGACUUCGCCCUAGGGGGAGUCCUAUUACAAGAAGGACAUCCAGUGGCGUAUGAGAGUCAUAAGCUCUCACUAGUGGAAAGGAGAUAUACAGCCCAUGAGAGAGAAAUGUUGGCUGUGAUUCACUGUUUGAGGACUUGGAGGCACUAUUUGCUAGGGGCAAAUUUUACUGUGAAGACAGACAACUCUGCAGUUAGUCAUUUCCUGACACAACCGAAGUUGACCUCAAAGCAAGCUCGGUGGCAAGAGUUUCUCGCCGAGUUCGACUUCCAAUUUGAGCACAAAGCAGGGUACACCAAUCAAGUUGCGGACGCCCUAAGCCGCAAGGCCAACCUUGCGGCCCUUCGAAACCUGGCGACUUUGUCAGGCAGUGGAGUUGCCACUGACAUUAAGGAAAGAGUAAAGGCUGGUUUGGAGAAAGAUCUCGUGGCCCAAGGCCUCGUGAAGCUAGUGCAAGAAGGGAAGAGCCGCAGAUUCUGGUUGGAGGACGGCUUGUUAAAGACAAAAGGAGGAAGAACAUAUCUUCCCCGGGUGGAUGGAUUGCGAAGAAUGUUGAUGAGAGAGUGCCAUGACACCUUGUGGGCAGGGCAUCCUGGGUGGCACAGAACCUAUGCCCUCCUGAAACAGGGUUACUACUGGCCGCAGAUGCGAGAUGAUGUGAUGGAGUACACCAGGACGUGUCUCAUCUGCCAACAAGACAAGGUGGAGCGACAGAAGACAGCUGGGUUAUUGGAGCCGUUGGCAACACCCACUCGUCCGUGGGAGAGUGUCUCCCUUGAUUUCAUUACCAAUCUCCCGAAGGUUGGGGAAGUAUCUGGAAUCCUAGUUGUGGUGGACAGGUUCUCGAAGUAUGCCACAUUUGUUCCAACAUCGAAACAUUGUUCUGCAGAAGACACAGCGAGUCUCUUCUUCAAACAUGUGGUGAAGUAUUGGGGAGUACCACAGAAUAUCGUUAGCGAUCGAGACCCUAGGUUCACAGGGUCGUUUUGGACAGAAUUGUUCAAGCUGCUGGGGUCUGAACUCAACAUCUCCUCCAGUUAUCACCCUCAGACGGAUGGGCAGACUGAGAGAUUCAAUGCAAUGCUGGAAGAAUACUUGAGGCACUUUGUUCAUGCAAAUAUGAAGAAUUGGGUGGAGUUACUGGAUGUGGCCCAGUUCUGUUUCAAUUCGAAGAAGAGUUCAGCCACCAACAAGAGCGCUUUUGAAGUGGUGACUGGCCAGCAACCACUCUUGCCUCAUACUGUGCAGGAGGUAUACAAGGGGAAAAACCCGCGAGCUUUCAACUUCACCAAAGAGUGGAAAGCCAACGCGGACGUUGCUCGAAGUUACUUGGAGAAAGCGGCGAAGAGAAUGAAGAAGUGGGCAGAUCAGAGUCGCAAACCCCGAGAGUUCCAAGAAGGAGACAUGGUGCUCGUGAAGCUGCUCCCUGAACAGAUCAGGAAUAUGCGCUCCACAGGCAAGCGGUUGUUCAGGAAGUAUGAAGGCCCACUUCCGGUUCUUUCCAAAGUGGGGAAGUGCUCUUACAAAGUCGACAUCCCUGCCUGGAUGAAAGUUCACCCUGUCUUCCAUGUCAGCAACCUCAAACCUUACCAGUCUGAUGUCGAAGAUCAAAGCCGCAACCAGCCUACUCGACAACAUGUGGAGCUCAAGACACACAAACCAAAGGAGGUAGAGGAGAUUCUAGCCGAGAGAGUAGUUGACAAGUUCGAACAAGGGCGGGGAGACCGCCUAGUUACAGUGCGCCAGCAGCAGUACUUAGUGAAGUGGAAGAAGAUGGGAGAGGAAGAGAUCUGUUGGGAGAAUGUCGAAGCCCUGAAGAAGUUCAAGCAGAAGAUUGAAGAUUUCAAGCUAAGUUCAAGCCUAAGGCAGUCGUCGAGAGCGCCGACAGCUUAAGUGGGGGAGGAUGUUAGGGUCAAGACAUGUAAUGCCACAAGCAACCUUGCCCAGGGUCAUGAGUCAAGCCCAUGGUUGGUUGCUUGUGUGCAAGUGGCAUUAUUGUAAUUUCUAUUUUCCUUGUAUUUUAUUUUAUUUAGCUUGGCCCUCCUUGGCUUUUUGAUGUUUCCCACAGCCAAGUGAGAAUUUGGCCGAUAUGCUCUUUGUAGGGGAGUUCCUAGUCGGCGACGGUUGGACUAAGGAACUAGUAUAGGUAAGCACAUGUACUUUAGCCCCUACUAACGUCUUACCAUCAAUAAAGAGAUGAAUUAUUCAAUCAUCUGUGUCCCGUGAGAUCAUUUCAACUUUUCAUUCGAGUGCCCGCUCGCUCUUUGAGCUCGCUCCAUAAUUAUAUAACACUGUGUUCUUGCUUGUUGCUAGCAUCAUAUUAAUAUCGUGUGGUUUCCAUUGUUCCUUGCAAGGUGCGCACAAGGCUGACUUGCUACCUUUUCAAGGCUAGCGAGUGCCACACGGUCCUCUUUGCACCCUCGCAAAGUCGGCCCGUGACACAAUUGAUGACUAUUACAGCUUUUCUUUAGAGUUCAUAACAAUCUUCCUUAGUCAUUCAAGUUUUCCAAAUUUAUCAAAAAUUAUGAUAUGCGUAUGGUCUAAUUAUUUAUGUACCAAUUGAUGACUUACAAUGCAACGAGAAUGUGAUUAUACUAACACGCUUAUUACAAGAAAAACAUAACCAACAAAAGAAAGGAAGAUCAUCUAAGAAUCGAAGCUGCAGAAAGUUUAAAUAAAUGCUCCAAAGGAUCCCAAAUGGCCAUACUUGGUUUGUGAUGUUAAAACUCAAUUUGCCGUAUGGUGGGAAACAUAUUUGUGUUUUUAUCUUUAUUUGGAUACCACAUAAGGUCCUAAACUUACUUCUUUGUGAAAGGGAAAACAUCAAUUAAUAUGCAAAAUAUGACUAAGUAAGAUCAUAAAGAGUGGUUUGUAACUAAAUCAUGCCCAUCUACCAUCUCUUCAUACUCUCGAUAUAAGUGGAGGUGCUCUCAAUCUAUCUUAAUCUUGAAGCAUCUUUUUCUUUGUAUUCCAAACCAAUUAAACACCAAUUGAGUUAACAUGGCAUGUUAUGCAAUAUAAUCAUGAUAUUACGGGACCCUAGCUUUCUUGUAAUGUUGUUCAAAUUCACUUAGACCACAAAGAUUCACUGGCAUCAAAAGGUUUCAAAUGGGUGAUUAUUAUAAGAGCUGUUGAUUAACUUUCUAAACAACAAAAAAGCAAGACUUACUUCGAGCUAACCGACAACAUUUACCUCUAUCUUACAACUAAUUAACCCUUUUUAAUCCCUUUGAUAUUCGUUUAUGACUUGCAUUACGAUCAAAGUAACCAAUUGACCUAAGCUCUUUUCAACUUCUUAUAUAAUUAUAUAAAGGUGACAUGGAACGUGAACAUAGAAGAGAGAAUUAGUAACUUGCUUAUCACUAGUAGAUGCUUUCAAUCCCUCUCAUGAUCAUAAUCAAACAAGCUACUUCGUGAAAGAAUCAAAGUUGGUAAAGUUUCUUGGCAUAUCAUACCAUAUAUAUGAUCAACUUAUUCAAAUCCCGCACUAGAUAUAUCAUCACGAUGUCAACAAAAUCUUACGGGUUGAAUUUGGAGUUACCAAAUCAAAUUUAAAGUGUACUCUUUUUCUCAUAUGCACUCUUAUUCACUAGUUUAUUUCCUAAUUUCAAGAGUAAAAUUAACAUAGAACGAAAUUUGUAAUUUUUGGUGCAGUAGUAAAAUACACUAGUGCUGAGACCUAUUAAGAUAAGGGUCUAAAUCUUGACUUGGAGGGAUAUAUAGUCGAGUCUCUCUCUCUCUCACAUGCAUGCUCGCAUCACUCACCUUCAAACCCCAAUCAUUCUGCUCUCCACUAAUU